Molecule: ribosomal RNA, 25 nt
Filed under: Quambalaria simpsonii
Lineage: Eukaryota; Fungi; Basidiomycota; Exobasidiomycetes; Microstromatales; Quambalariaceae
Description: partial 28S ribosomal RNA
Source: RNAcentral
CUGGCCUCAAAUCAGGUAGACAGCA